This 73-nucleotide transfer RNA is filed under the name Cryptococcus deneoformans JEC21. Its description in RNAcentral is "tRNA-Phe (GAA) (tRNA-Phe-GAA-1 1 to 4)". It matches the Rfam family "tRNA". Rfam says of the family: Transfer RNA (tRNA) molecules are approximately 80 nucleotides in length. Their secondary structure includes four short double-helical elements and three loops (D, anti-codon, and T loops). The record is from RNAcentral. RNAcentral also lists the same sequence under 20 other names. Lineage: Eukaryota; Fungi; Basidiomycota; Tremellomycetes; Tremellales; Cryptococcaceae.
GGCGACAUAGCUCAGUUGGGAGAGCGCACGACUGAAGAUCGUGCGGUCCCUGGUUCGAUCCCGGGUGGCGCCA